Long non-coding RNA from Myotis myotis, 1216 nucleotides. RefSeq lists it as uncharacterized. The transcript is spliced from 10 exons. NCBI's taxonomy places the organism in Eukaryota, Metazoa, Chordata, Mammalia, Chiroptera, Vespertilionidae. The record is from RefSeq and is a predicted model, not a curated record.
UUGAAAACAAUGUGGCUUUCAAACAAGGAGAAAACCGAAUUGGGCUUUAAACAGGUCCUAUUCCUGGAGAAAGGUACCUGGGAAAGGAGCCUUCCACCAGACCCGUCUCUGUUUCUGGCUGUCAGAGUUCCAGUCUUCUGAAUUAAACCAAAGGCACAGGAAGUACAGCUGCCAAGACCUCCACUAAGACAAUCAUGUGAAUAAGUGGGCCAGACAUUAUGCUGAAUAUUGGAGAUACAGAGAUGAAAGGAAAAAGACUCUUAGUUUCCACCCUCAAGAAGCUCAUUAAUUCCAUGCACGCUGCACUGUUCCAGCACAGUCCACAUAUUGUGUGGCUGCGUUAAAACAAGGCGAUCUGACUUUGUGAAGUUUUAAAUGAGGAAGUGUAUAAUGAACAUAAUUUAAAUUGCAUGGCCCCUAAUUUGCUACUGUAUAUAGAAGGAAAACGAAAGCUCUUUCUAAAUUUUGUGGGGCUGACCACGGCUGAAAACCUUUGGCCUACUUCAAAAAAUACCCAGUUCCUGCCGUCUGAUGCCUGCUAGCAUAAUUGAGUUUCUAGAACACUCGGCAUGCUGUCUGGAAGCCCAUGGGUGAAGCUGACUGUUGACUAGGACCUCAGUUGAGCUGUUUUCUGGAACAUCUAUAUGUCACAUCAGCAGUGGUCCCCUUGAAUGAGCUUAUUUGGAUUUCUUUUCUGCAUGGCAGCUAGAUGAAAAUGCACUGAAAAAGAACACAACACACCUAUUUUUAUUUAAAAAGAAAAGCAUCUCAGGCGUCACCCAGUGAUGAAUCCAAAGAGAAGUAGGAGGAAGAAGUAAAUGGAGAUAAUAGGACAGUAAUGAUCAAAUGAAAUAAUAUAUCAGUAAUGUGUCUACAAUCAUUUAUCAGAGAUCCUGGUUCUUUGUUUCACCUCCAAAAUUUCUGUUGACACCUAAAUCCUUAUCUCAGGGUCUGCUUCUUAGGGAUCCUAAACAAGAAAACCACAGACAAGGUCAAAACAACCACAGACAAGACCCCCCAACUCCUGGACUGAAGGUGAAAGAGGAAAAAGGAAGAAGUUUUUCCUCCCAACAGAGUUGUCCUCAUACACUCUGGCUUUGUUAGUGCAACAGCGGGAAGCUGCAAUCAAGUGCAGUUCUCCCUGCAAUAAAUUAUCUUCACUGUGUCGGGAGAGUGAAAGAGAGACAAAAAGACAGAGAGAAACAUCGAGUGAGAG